RNAcentral lists this ribosomal RNA (465 nucleotides) under Vreelandella stevensii. Its description in RNAcentral is "partial 16S ribosomal RNA". It matches the Rfam family "Bacterial small subunit ribosomal RNA", at positions 338 to 795 of the family's 1533-position model. The record is from RNAcentral. Lineage: Bacteria; Pseudomonadati; Pseudomonadota; Gammaproteobacteria; Oceanospirillales; Halomonadaceae.
CCUACGGGUGGCUGCAGUGGGGAAUAUUGGACAAUGGGGGGAACCCUGAUCCAGCCAUGCCGCGUGUGUGAAGAAGGCCCUCGGGUUGUAAAGCACUUUCAGUGAGGAAGAACGCCUGGUGGUUAAUACCCAUCAGGAAAGACAUCACUCACAGAAGAAGCACCGGCUAACUCCGUGCCAGCAGCCGCGGUAAUACGGAGGGUGCGAGCGUUAAUCGGAAUUACUGGGCGUAAAGCGCGCGUAGGUGGCUUGAUAAGCCGGUUGUGAAAGCCCCGGGCUCAACCUGGGAACGGCAUCCGGAACUGUCAAGCUAGAGUGCAGGAGAGGAAGGUAGAAUUCCCGGUGUGGCGGUGAAAUGCGUAGAGAUCGGGAGGAAUACCAGUGGCGAAGGCGGCCUUCUGGACUGACACUGACACUGAGGUGCGAAGGCGUGGGUAGCAAACAGGAUUAGAUACCCUAGUAGUC